This 301-nucleotide long non-coding RNA is filed under the name Androctonus crassicauda. The record is from RNAcentral. Lineage: Eukaryota; Metazoa; Arthropoda; Arachnida; Scorpiones; Buthidae.
GUCAAACAAUACACUACAUUGUAUGAACACACACAUUCUACCAAAACUUAUUAAUGCAGAAACAACAUUCAUAGAAAUACAUAUACUUAUUUAUGCAGCUGCUGUCACUGCCACUAUACACCUAGGUCUUAAAACACUUCCAGAUAAGCUGGGCACAAACAUGAGACACCAAAUGCCUAGAAUUUGUUUUUCUAGUCAUUAUUUCAGGCAGGCUUUAAAGCCUGGAAAAAAAUGACUCGAAAAACAAAUAAACAAAAUCAGAACAGAAUUAGGUAGACUCACAAAAUACACAAAAAACAAC